This 420-nucleotide ribosomal RNA is filed under the name uncultured bacterium. Its description in RNAcentral is "bacterial SSU rRNA". It matches the Rfam family "Bacterial small subunit ribosomal RNA", at positions 355 to 775 of the family's 1533-position model. The record is from RNAcentral.
UGGGGAAUCUUGCGCAAUGGCCGCAAGGCUGACGCAGCGACGCCGCGUGCGGGAGGACGCCCCUCGGGGUGUAAACCGCUGUUGCCCGGGACGAACAUUCCCUUUCGAGGGAGCUGACGGUACCGGGUGAGGAAGCGCCGGCUAACUCCGUGCCAGCAGCCGCGGUAAUACGGAGGGCGCGAGCGUUGUCCGGAAUCACUGGGCGUAAAGGGCGCGUAGGCGGCGGGUCAAGCGCGCGGUGAAAGCCCGGGGCUCAACCCCGGGUCGGCCGUGCGGACUGGCCCGCUGGAGCACUGUAGGGGCGGGCGGAAUUCCGGGUGUAGCGGUGGAAUGCGUAGAGAUCCGGAAGAACACCGGUGGCGAAGGCGGCCCGCUGGGCAGUGGCUGACGCUGAGGCGCGACAGCGUGGGGAGCAAACAG